UGUAGACCCGCCUUGAGCUGGGAGUUGUCUGGUCCCUAAGGCUGCCAUGGGCUCCAGGCUCCUCUGCUGUGUGGCCCUGUGUCUCCUGGGGUCAGGCCCAGUGGGUACAGGAGUCACACAAACUCCAGAACACCUUGUCAGAGCAAGAAGGCAGCCAGUGACCCUGAGAUGUUUCUAUGAAUCUGGACACCGCUCAGUCUACUGGUAUCAACAGACGCAGGGCCAGGGCCCCCAGUUUAUGGUUCAGUAUACAGAUAUGGAAGAGAUGGAGAAAGGAAAACUGCCAGAUCGGUUUUCAGUCCAGCAGUUCAAGAACAACCACAGCUCUGAGCUGACUGUGAGCUCCUUGGAUCUGGAGGACUCAGCCCUGUAUCUCUGUGCCAGCAGCAUAGCACAGCCCUGCACCAGCCACAGCCUGGAGCACAAAAACCUUCCUGCUCAGCUCAGGAAGUGA
Molecule: non-coding RNA, 454 nt
Organism: Erinaceus europaeus (western European hedgehog)
Lineage: Eukaryota; Metazoa; Chordata; Mammalia; Eulipotyphla; Erinaceidae
Source: the annotation of a RefSeq genome assembly